Molecule: long non-coding RNA, 1670 nt
Filed under: Triticum aestivum (bread wheat)
Lineage: Eukaryota; Viridiplantae; Streptophyta; Magnoliopsida; Poales; Poaceae
Description: long non-coding RNA (TAES_LNC024499)
Source: RNAcentral
UCUCGUUAGCUUCGGUUUCCUUCCGGAGUUGUGAGGAUUCGUUCGACUACAUCCGUUUGUCUUCUUCAUGGACUCGUUCUUCUUCCUUGCGGGAUCUCAGGCAAGAUGACCAUACCCUCGAAAUCACUUCUAUCUUUGCUUGUUAGUUGUUCGCUCUAUUGCUAUGCUGCGCUACCUACCACUUGCUAUAUCAUGCCUCCCAUGUUGCCAUGUCAAGCCUCUAACCAUCCUUUCCUAGCAAACCGUUGUUUGGCUAAGUUACCGCUUUUGCUCAGCCCUUCUUAUAGCAUUGCUAGUUGCAGGUGAAGAUGAAGUUUGUUCCAUGUUGGGACAUGGAUAUUGUUGGGAUAUCACAAUAUCUCUUAUUUAAUUAAUGCAUCUAUAUACUUGGUAAAGGGUGGAAGGCUCGGCCUUAUGCCUGGUGUUUUGUUCCACUCUUGCCGCCCUAGUUUCCGUCAUACCGGUGUUAUGUUCCUUGAUUUUGCGUUCCUUAUGCGGUUGGGUGAUUUAUGGGACCCCCUUGACAGUUCGCUUUGAAUAAAACUCCUCCAGCAAGGCCCAACCUUGGUUUUACCAUUUGCUACCACCUAUCCCCUUUUCCCUUGGGUUCUGCAGACUCAAGGGUCAUCUUUAUUUUAACCCCCCCGGGCCAGUGCUUCUCUAAGUGCUGGUCCGAACUGAGUAGACUGCGGGGCCCCCUCAUGGAAACUCGAGGUCUGGUUUUACUCGAAGGAUGUCUCAUCCAGUGUUGCCCUGAGAACGAGAUAUGUGCAGCUCCUAUCAGGAUUUGUCGGCACAUCGGGCGGCUUUGCUGGUCUUGUUUUACCAUUGUCAAAAUGUCUUGUAAACCGGGAUUCCGAGACUGAUCGGGUCUUCCCGGGAGAAGGAAUAUCCUUCGUUGACCGUGAGAGCUUAUAAUGGGCUAAGUUGGGACACCCCUGCAGGGUAUAAACUUUCGAGAGCCGUGCCCGCGGUUAUGUGGCAGAUGGGAAUUUGUUAAUAUCCGUUUGUAGAGAACUUGACACUUGACUUAAUUAAAACGCAUCAACCGCAUGUGUAGCCGUGAUGGUCUCUUUUCGGCGGAGUCCGCGAAGUGAACACGGUUUUGGGUUAUGUUUGACGUAAGUAGGAGUUCAGGAUCACUUCUUGAUCAUUACUAGUUGACGACCAUUCCGUUGCUCCUCUUCUCGCUCUUAUUUGCGUAUGUUAGCCACCAUAUAUGCUUAGUGCUUGCUGCAGCUCCACCUCACUACCCCUUUCCUACCCUUAAGCUUAAAUAGUCUUGAUCUCGCGGGUGUGAGAUUGCUGAGUCCUCGUGACUCACCAGAUACUUCCAACCAGUUGCAGGUGCCGAUGAUACCAGUGCAGGCGAUGCAACCGAGCUCUAACGGGAGUUCGACGAGGAACUUGGUCAUUACUAUGUUUCAUUUCCUGAUGAUCAGUACUGGAGCCCAGUUGGGACAAUCAGGGAUCUAGCAUUUGGGGUUGUCUUCUUUUCUUUUGGUUACGUAGUCGGACCUAUGUGUGUUCUCUGAUUGAUGUAUGAUUUAUUUAUGUAUUGUGUGAAGUGGCGAUUGUAAGCCAACUCUUUAUCCCAUUCUUGUUCAUUACAUGGGAUUGUGUGAAGAUGACCCUUCUUGCGACAAAACCACAAUGCGGUUAUGCCUCUA